RNAcentral lists this ribosomal RNA (315 nucleotides) under uncultured eukaryote. RNAcentral describes it as "partial 18S ribosomal RNA". It matches the Rfam family "Eukaryotic small subunit ribosomal RNA", at positions 1470 to 1796 of the family's 1831-position model. The record is from RNAcentral.
CCCUUAGAUGUUCUGGGCCGCACGCGCGCUACACUGAUGAAUUCAACGAGCUCCUAACCUAGGCCGAAGGGUCCGGGUAAUCUUUGAAAUUUCAUCGUGAUGGGGAUAGAUUAUUGCAAUUAUUAAUCUUCAACGAGGAAUUCCUAGUAAGCGCGAGUCAUCAGCUCGCGUUGAUUACGUCCCUGCCCUCUGUACACACCGCCCGUCGCUCCUACCGACUGAAUGGUCCGGUGAAGCCUCCGGAUUGGCGCGCACCUCGGUGCCGCCGAGAAGUUGGCUAAACCUUACCAUUUAGAGGAAGGUGAAGUCGUAACA